RNAcentral lists this ribosomal RNA (265 nucleotides) under uncultured archaeon. Its description in RNAcentral is "partial 16S ribosomal RNA". It matches the Rfam family "Archaeal small subunit ribosomal RNA", at positions 717 to 982 of the family's 1478-position model. The record is from RNAcentral.
ACACGACUACAUUAGAUACCCGGGUAGUCCUAGCCGUAAACGAUACUCGCUAGGUGUCGGCCACGGUGCGACCGUUGUCGGUGCCGUAGGGAAGCCGUGAAGCGAGCCACCUGGGAAGUACGGCCGCAAGGCCGAAACUUAAAGGAAUUGGCGGGGGAGCACAACAACGGGUGGAGCUUGCGGUUUAAUUGGAUUCAACGCCGGAAAUCUUACCGGGACCGACAGCAACAUGAAGGCCAAGCUGAAGACUUUGCCGGAUUAGCUG